This 435-nucleotide ribosomal RNA is filed under the name uncultured bacterium. RNAcentral describes it as "bacterial SSU rRNA". It matches the Rfam family "Bacterial small subunit ribosomal RNA", at positions 43 to 524 of the family's 1533-position model. The record is from RNAcentral.
CAGGCCUAACACAUGCAAGUCGAACGAUGGCUUCGGCCAUAGUGGCGCACGGGUGCGUAACGCGUGGGAAUCUGCCCUUGGGUUCGGAAUAACCAGGAGAAAUUCUGGCUAAUACCGGAUGAUGACGUAAGUCCAAAGAUUUAUCGCCCAAGGAUGAGCCCGCGUAGGAUUAGCUUGUUGGUGAGGUAAAGGCUCACCAAGGCGACGAUCCUUAGCUGGUCUGAGAGGAUGAUCAGCCACACUGGGACUGAGACACGGCCCAGACUCCUACGGGAGGCAGCAGUGGGGAAUAUUGGACAAUGGGCGAAAGCCUGAUCCAGCAAUGCCGCGUGAGUGAUGAAGGCCUUAGGGUUGUAAAGCUCUUUUACCCGGGAUGAUAAUGACAGUACCGGGAGAAUAAGCUCCGGCUAACUCCGUGCCAGCAGCCGCGGUAAU